UUGAAACUGGUUCUCUUGAGUGUAGAUGAGGUGGGUGGAAUUCGUGGUGUAGCGGUGAAAUGCUUAGAUAUCACGAAGAACUCCAAUUGCGUAGGCAGCUCACUGGGCUACAACUGACGCUGAGGCACGAAGGUGCGGGGAUCAAACAGGGUUAGAUACCCUGGUAGUCCGCACAGUAAACGAUGAAUACUAGCUGUUGGCGAUACACAGCCAGUGGCACAGCGAAAGCGUUAAGUAUUCCACCUGGGGAGUACGUUCGCAAGAAUGAAACUCAAAGGAAUUGACGGGGGCCCGCACAAGCGGUGGAGCAUGUGCUUUAAUUCGAUGCAACGCGAAGAACCUUACCUAGGCUUGACAUGGGAGUGAAAUCUUGUAGAAAUAUGAGACCUUCCGCAAGGAACACUCUACACAGGUGCUGCAUGGUUGUCGUCAGCUCGUGUCGUGAGAUGUUGGGUUAAGUCCCGCAACGAGCGCAA
RNAcentral lists this ribosomal RNA (476 nucleotides) under uncultured bacterium. Its description in RNAcentral is "bacterial SSU rRNA". It matches the Rfam family "Bacterial small subunit ribosomal RNA", at positions 627 to 1101 of the family's 1533-position model. The record is from RNAcentral.